AGAUGCCCUGUCACUUCUAUCAGGGGAAAGCCUGCCUGAGAAUGAAGCCAGCUGAGAGGAGGAAAGAGAAGUUGGAGUCCUAAUGGCACUUUUAGAUCCAGCCCCCAUAAAGCCAGUUCCACUCCUAAAUGUCUCAGUUACUUGAGGCAAUAUAGAUUCCCUUUUCCCCUUCUUGUUGGAUUUCUGAUUCCCUUUUCUCCUUCUUGUUGGAUUUCUGAUUCCCUUUUCUCCUUCUUGUUGGAUUUCUGAUCUCUUCAUCUCUGAAUCUUGAGUGACAUAAACUUCUGAUGCUAACGUUUGAGAAUCUACGAAGAUGAACCAAUCGUGCCCACGUGGAAAACUACAUGAAUUAAGAAAGCAUAAGCCAUAAGGUACAAGGAAAUGCAAGUUCAUGGAUAUUAGAAAUAAUACCAAAAUCCGAAUAAGACCGGGUUUAGAGGUCGCAUGGAAUCUGCUGAAUAUGGUUGUCUGGAGUGAUUUUUUUGGCCUUCUCAGUUUGCCAAGACAGGUAGGUGUACCAUUUGGUCUAGCCCGUGUAACAAUUUUCUGUGGUAACUGUCCAGGUUGAAGAUUGUUGUCAUAGAAUGGUGAUGCCGAAACAACUGAAAUGUUUACAGUACACAAAGAAAAACAGUCAACAUUACCAGGCGAUACAGACUAUUUGUUUAUUAUGAAACUAACUGGUAAAGCAGAGUAAAUCCCAUUCUAUAUUAUAGCACUACAAACAUCCUUAGUCAUUCCUUCAUUUGUUCAUUCAUUCAUUCAUGCAUUCAGUGAGUAUUUCUUAAGCUCCUACAGUGUACCAGGAGGCACUCUGUUCAUUGUGGCAUUACAAAGAUAAAGAUUAAGGCACGUACUCUGCCCUCAAGGAGCUCCCAAUCUAAUUGUGCAGAGAGAUGU
This 900-nucleotide long non-coding RNA is filed under the name Homo sapiens (human). Its description in RNAcentral is "HSALNT0370112". Lineage: Eukaryota; Metazoa; Chordata; Mammalia; Primates; Hominidae. The record is from RNAcentral.